AUGCUCACUUUGGCAGCACAUAUACUAAAAUUGCAGUGAUACAGAGAAGAUUAGCAUGGCCCCUGUGCAAGGAUGACAUGCAAAUUUGUGAAGCGUUCCAUAUUCAA
RNAcentral lists this small nuclear RNA (107 nucleotides) under Balaenoptera musculus (blue whale). Lineage: Eukaryota; Metazoa; Chordata; Mammalia; Artiodactyla; Balaenopteridae. The record is from RNAcentral.